Molecule: ribosomal RNA, 291 nt
Filed under: uncultured bacterium
Lineage: Bacteria
Description: partial 16S ribosomal RNA
Rfam family: Bacterial small subunit ribosomal RNA
Source: RNAcentral
UCGUCCUACGGGAGGCAGCAGUAGGGAAUUUUCGUCAAUGGGCGCAAGCCUGAACGAGCAAUGCCGCGUGAACGAGGAAGGUCUUCGGAUCGUAAAGUUCUGUUGAAGGGGAAAAAGAGCGGAAAGAGGAAAUGGUCUCCGAUUGAUAUUACCCUUCGAGGAAGUCACGGCUAACUACGUGCCAGCAGCCGCGGUAAUACGUAGGUUGCGAGCGUUAUCCGGAAUGAUUGGGCGUAAAGGGCUCGUAGGCGGCCUGCUAAGUCUGGCGUGAAAGUUACGGGCUAAACCGGU